This 508-nucleotide ribosomal RNA is filed under the name uncultured Bacillota bacterium. RNAcentral describes it as "bacterial SSU rRNA". It matches the Rfam family "Bacterial small subunit ribosomal RNA", at positions 397 to 896 of the family's 1533-position model. The record is from RNAcentral. Lineage: Bacteria; Bacillati; Bacillota.
CCGCGUGAGUGAUGAAGGUUUUCGGAUCGUAAACUACUGCUGUCAGGGAAGAACAAGUACCGGAGUAACUGCCGGUACCUUGACGGUACCUGACCAGAAAGCCACGGCUAACUACGUGCCAGCAGCCGCGGUAAUACGUAGGUGGCAAGCGUUGUCCGGAAUUAUUGGGCGUAAAGCGCGCGCAGGCGGUUCCUUAAGUCUGAUGUGAAAGCCCCCGGCUCAACCGGGGAGGGUCAUUGGAAACUGGGGAACUUGAGUGCAGAAGAGAAGAGUGGAAUUCCACGUGUAGCGGUGAAAUGCGUAGAGAUGUGGAGGAACACCAGUGGCGAAGGCGACUCUUUGGUCUGUAACUGACGCUGAGGCGCGAAAGCGUGGGGAGCAAACAGGAUUAGAUACCCUGGUAGUCCACGCCGUAAACGAUGAGUGCUAAGUGUUAGAGGGUUUCCGCCCUUUAGUGCUGCAGCAAACGCAUUAAGCACUCCGCCUGGGGAGUACGGCCGCAAGGCUG